GGGUGAAGUGGGGCAGCUACGUCCGCUCGCUCCUGCAGGAGGAAUUAAGGGAGAACACAUCCAGUGCGGCGCCAACGCGGACCCGGAGAGUCGGGGAGGACCUCCAGGCGAAACGCUCGAGUGGGCCCAGACCUCCCUUCCCACAGAUUCUGGGUCUAUCGUCACAGACACACAGUGCCCCUGUUGUGGGGACUGCGGCAGAAGCCAUGUGUGUUGGCCUGGAAGAGCGAACUCACACUGCGCUUUGCCCUCUGUGAAGUUUCACUGGCCGAUGUCGCUGUCGUCGCGGCAACAAAGAGCAGUCGGCUGGUUGGACAAGAGCCCAGCUAUGGAGCAUGACUUGACCGAAGCCCCUCCCCCUCUGUCUGGGGAGAGACACUUACUCUAGGUGGAUGGCCAGGAUUCAGACAGGCCUGAGGUCGAACUGCAGUAAACAAACGGACACACCCCCCUGUCGCAGCCCACCAAUCGCCAAGGGAGGCGGAGCCACGCACUGCCCGCUAACCGCUGAGAACUGAGCAGCUUGUCUGAGAGAAUUUACUGGCGCUGUUUGUCCAGCAUGUUACCGUCUUGAGCCAAAUGUGUCUCACAGAGCAAACCCAGAAAAACAGCCUUCGCCCGAAUGCCAGCUCUGUCCCCACGGAGACGGCCAACCGGGGGGAGGGGCCCCAUUCAGCCGAAACACUCUCCACACAAGAGGAUAAGCCGGGGAGACACACCAACGUGCCGAGACGUUCUCAUGCUCAGACAGUCUUUCCAGAACACGCACACACGCAUACGUGCAUGCAGGCACUCGCAGACGCAUGAAUAUACACAGGUACACAGGAGAAACUGCACUCUUGUCCCUUCCUCAGUGAUUGGCUGGUGAGGGGGUUGGGGGUGUGUCAGUAAAAACAGGCCAAUGAGCAGU
This is a long non-coding RNA of Conger conger (European conger), 910 nucleotides long. RefSeq lists it as uncharacterized. Lineage: Eukaryota; Metazoa; Chordata; Actinopteri; Anguilliformes; Congridae. The record is from RefSeq and is a predicted model, not a curated record. The transcript has 3 exons.